Molecule: ribosomal RNA, 361 nt
Filed under: Nocardiopsis sp. 2BMA3
Lineage: Bacteria; Bacillati; Actinomycetota; Actinomycetes; Streptosporangiales; Nocardiopsidaceae
Description: bacterial SSU rRNA
Rfam family: Bacterial small subunit ribosomal RNA
Source: RNAcentral
UCAGGACGAACGCUGGCGGCGUGCUUAACACAUGCAAGUCGAGCGGUAAGGCCCUUCGGGGUACACGAGCGGCGAACGGGUGAGUAACACGUGAGCAACCUGCCCCUGACUCCGGGAUAAGCGGUGGAAACGCCGUCUAAUACCGGAUAUGACACACCGCCUCAUGGUGGUGUGUGGAAAGUUUUUCGGUCAGGGAUGGGCUCGCGGCCUAUCAGCUUGUUGGUGGGGUAACGGCCUACCAAGGCGAUUACGGGUAGCCGGCCUGAGAGGGCGACCGGCCACACUGGGACUGAGACACGGCCCAGACUCCUGCGGGAGGCAGCAGUGGGGAAUAUUGCGCAAUGGGCGAAAGCCUGACGCA